RNAcentral lists this long non-coding RNA (1211 nucleotides) under Prunus persica (peach). RNAcentral describes it as "long non-coding RNA (PPER_LNC008146)". Lineage: Eukaryota; Viridiplantae; Streptophyta; Magnoliopsida; Rosales; Rosaceae. The record is from RNAcentral.
GUGGAUUGUAUUGUGGCCAUAAAUGUGGUGUGGGAUGGCUCUAUGGCAUCAACCUUUUGUUUGGUUGAAAUCACUUUUGUUAUGAAAGAGAAUAGGAUUCCAGACCCAAAAAAAAAAAAAAAAAAAAGAACAAGAGGAAGAGUAGUACAACACACUGCACUACAAAGCCAAGAACGCAGCCUCCAAAACAGUGAGACUACUAAAACAACUAAGAAAACAAGCUUCUGUUAAUAAAAAGGCAACACCGCCUCUUUCUCAUUAUUGUAGCAUCAUAACAAGUCUUGAAUUUUGGCCGAUGGGCGAUUCUUUCUUAGUGUUUAUUAGAAUUCCUUUUUCUUUUUCUUUUAUUUUUUUUUCUGAAAAUUAGCGAUAAUUGUAUUCAAUAAUUGGAGAUAAAAACCAAAUACUCAUAAAGGGUUAAUACAAAGAUGGAUCUACAGUAACAACAAAGGGUUAAAUCCAAUAUAGGAGGAUGUUGUGUGGAAACACUCCAAGACCUUGUUGUUGAUGGACUAUACGAUGGCACACACACAAUCCCAUUUGAGAAUAAAACACACACACACACAGAAGACAGAACGCAAGCACACAAGAAAACAAAGAUUUUAUAGAGGUUCGACAUCGUCCCUGUGUCCUCAUGGUGAUCUACUCGAGAAAUUCACUAGUAUGUAAGAACUACUUUGGUUACAACUUAAACCCCCUUAGUUCUCACAAGAACCCUAGCUCUCUUUUCUCUCACCCUUUGCUCAAACCCUUUGAUGCCCUUGUAAACACUCAAAAAUUCAACCUUGAAUUAUCUCUUAUAUUUCUCCCUUAAAAAUUCACUCUUGAAUUCUCCUAUCUUACUAUUGACCUAGCCCCUAAAAGUCCUAUUUAUAGAUCAUAGGACUUUAGUACACUUGUAUUAGGAGUAGGAGACUUAACCCUAGUCAAACUAGGCCCAAAACAUGCCUAAAACCCGUAGGAAAACCGAAACAGAUCGAACUUCAAAACACGUGAUGACCGGUCUCUUUAUGCAAAACCUCCAGACUUCAUCUCGGCUUCCAAGUGACCAGUUGUUUCCAAUAACUCCUCACGAUCUUCUUCUCGGCACCUGCCCCACGACUCCAACCUUGCAUCAAAGGCAAGCCAACUUCAACAGACGAUAUACUGGCGACAUCUAAAAACUUGUAUUUCCACUAAUAGUCUUUGAGAACCAAAUACAUUUCAACAUA